This 497-nucleotide ribosomal RNA is filed under the name uncultured bacterium. Its description in RNAcentral is "partial 16S ribosomal RNA". It matches the Rfam family "Bacterial small subunit ribosomal RNA", at positions 28 to 507 of the family's 1533-position model. The record is from RNAcentral.
GAUGAACGCUGGCGGCGUGCCUAAUACAUGCAAGUCGAGCGAACGGACGAGAAGCUUGCUUCUCUGCUGUUAGCGGCGGACGGGUGAGUAACACGUGGAUAACCUACCUAUAAGACUGGGAUAACUUCGGGAAACCGGAGCUAAUACCGGAUAAUAUUUUGAACCGCAUGGUUCAAAAGUGAAAGACGGUCUUGCUGUCACUUAUAGAUGGAUCCGCGCUGCAUUAGCUAGUUGGUAAGGUAACGGCUUACCAAGGCAACGAUGCAUAGCCGACCUGAGAGGGUGAUCGGCCACACUGGAACUGAGACACGGUCCAGACUCCUACGGGAGGCAGCAGUAGGGAAUCUUCCGCAAUGGGCGAAAGCCUGACGGAGCAACGCCGCGUGUGUGAUGAAGGUCUUCGGAUCGUAAAACUCUGUUAGUAGGGAAGAACAUAUGUGUAUGUAACUGUGCACAUCUUGACGGUACCGAAUCAGAAAGCCACGGCUAACUACGUG